This 417-nucleotide ribosomal RNA is filed under the name Cakile maritima (European searocket). RNAcentral describes it as "eukaryotic LSU rRNA". The stretch from base 277 to 417 matches the Rfam family "Eukaryotic large subunit ribosomal RNA", at positions 1 to 141 of the family's 3401-position model. The record is from RNAcentral. Lineage: Eukaryota; Viridiplantae; Streptophyta; Magnoliopsida; Brassicales; Brassicaceae.
UGCAGAAUCCCGUGAACCAUCGAGUCUUUGAACGCAAGUUGCGCCCCAAGCCUUCUGGCCGAGGGCACGUCUGCCUGGGUGUCACAAAUCGUCGUCCCCCCAUCCUCUCGAGGAUGCAGGACGGAAGCUGGUCUCCCGUGUGUUACCGCACGCGGUUGGCCAAAAUCCGAGCAAAGGAUGCCAUGAGCGUCUCGACAUGCGGUGGUGAAUUUAUUCCUCGUCAUAAUGUCGGUCGCUUGGCUCCGAGAGCUCUCGAUUGACCCAAUGUUAUCAACGCGACCCCAGGUCAGGCGGGAUCACCCGCUGAGUUUAAGCAUAUCAAUAAGCGGAGGAAAAGAAACUAACAAGGAUUCCCUUAGUAACGGCGAGCGAACCGGGAAGAGCCCAGCUUGAAAAUCGUACGUCUUCGGCGUUCGA